Molecule: ribosomal RNA, 405 nt
Filed under: uncultured bacterium
Lineage: Bacteria
Description: partial 16S ribosomal RNA
Rfam family: Bacterial small subunit ribosomal RNA
Source: RNAcentral
AUUGAACGCUGGCGGCAGGCCUAACACAUGCAAGUCGAGCGAGCGGCGGACGGGUGAGUAAUGUAUGGGGAUCUGCCCGAUAGAGGGGGAUAACUACUGGAAACGGUGGAUAAUACCGCAUACUAUCGGGUGAGCCCAAGUGGGAUUAGGUAGUUGGUGAGGUAAAGGCUCACACACCGACGAUCGCUAGCUGGUCUGAGAGGAAGACCAGCCACACUGGGACUGAGACACGGCCCAGACUCCUACGGGAGGCAGCAGUGGGGAAUAUUGCGCAAUGGGGGCAACCCUGACGCAGCCAUGCCGCGUGAAUGAAGAAGGCCUUCGGGUUGUAAAGUUCUUUCGGUAGCGAGGCGUUAACUACAGAAGAAGCACCGGCUAACUCCGUGCCAGCAGCCGCGGUAAUUC